GUGUAGGCGGAGAUGCAAGUUGGGAGUGAAAUCCCGGGGCUCAACCCCGGAACUGCUUUCAAAACUGUAUCCCUUGAGUAUCGGAGAGGCAAGCGGAAUUCCUAGUGUAGCGGUGAAAUGCGUAGAUAUUAGGAGGAACACCAGUGGCGAAGGCGGCUUGCUGGACGACAACUGACGCUGAGGCGCGAAAGCGUGGGGAGCAAACAGGAUUAGAUACCCUGGUAGUCCACGCUGUAAACGAUGAAUACUAGGUGUGGGAGGGCUGACCCCUUCCGUGCCGCAGUUAACACAAUAAGUAUUCCACCUGGGGAGUACGACCGCAAGGUUGAAACUCAAAGGAAUUGACGGGGGCCCGCACAAGCAGUGGAUUAUGUGGUUUAAUUCGACGCAACGCGAAGAACCUUACCAGGACUUGACAUCCAACUAACGAAGUAGAGAUACAUUAGGUGCCCUUCGGGGAAAGUUGAGACAGGUGGUGCAUGGUUGUCGUCAGCUCGUGUCGUGAGAUGUUGGGUUAAGUCCCGCAACGAGCGCAACCCCUAUUGUUAGUUGCUACGCAAGAGCACUCUAGCGAGACUGCCGUUGACAAAACGGAGGAAGGCGGGGACGACGUCAAAUCAUCAUGCCCCUUAUGUCCUGGGCUACACACGUAAUACAAUGGCCGUCAACAAAGGGAAGCAAAGCCGCGAGGUGGAGCAAACCCCCAAAAACGGUCUCAGUUCGGAUUGCAGGCUGCAACUCGCCUGCAUGAAGCUG
Molecule: ribosomal RNA, 756 nt
Filed under: uncultured Bacillota bacterium
Lineage: Bacteria; Bacillati; Bacillota
Description: bacterial SSU rRNA
Rfam family: Bacterial small subunit ribosomal RNA
Source: RNAcentral